GCCUGGGUGGCUCAGUCGGUUGAGCGUCCGACUUCGGCUCAGGUCAUGAUCUCGCGGUCUGUGAGUUCGAGUCCCACGUCAGGCU
RNAcentral lists this transfer RNA (85 nucleotides) under Felis catus (domestic cat). It matches the Rfam family "tRNA". Rfam says of the family: Transfer RNA (tRNA) molecules are approximately 80 nucleotides in length. Their secondary structure includes four short double-helical elements and three loops (D, anti-codon, and T loops). Further hydrogen bonds mediate the characteristic L-shaped molecular structure. tRNAs have two regions of fundamental functional importance: the anti-codon, which is responsible for specific mRNA codon recognition, and the 3' end, to which the tRNAs corresponding amino acid is attached (by aminoacyl-tRNA synthetases). tRNAs cope with the degeneracy of the genetic code in two manners: having more than one tRNA (with a specific anti-codon) for a particular amino acid; and 'wobble' base-pairing, i.e. permitting non-standard base-pairing at the 3rd anti-codon position. The record is from Rfam by way of RNAcentral. Lineage: Eukaryota; Metazoa; Chordata; Mammalia; Carnivora; Felidae.